AAUCUAUGAUGUGGGCAUUUGUAAAUCAGCGUCUUAAAAUGCUCCCAAGCGUCGUGGAAACUUUCUCUUUCUAAUUGCUAAAACGUAGCAAUCUCUCUCCUUAGCU
RNAcentral lists this small nucleolar RNA (106 nucleotides) under Gossypium hirsutum (cotton). Its description in RNAcentral is "Plant small nucleolar RNA R71". It matches the Rfam family "Plant small nucleolar RNA R71". From Rfam's summary of the family: R71 is a member of the C/D box family of snoRNAs containing the C (UGAUGA) and D (CUGA) box motifs. Multiple nearly identical copies of this snoRNA have been identified in Arabidopsis, and it is thought to function as a 2'-O-ribose methylation guide for 18S ribosomal RNA. The record is from Rfam by way of RNAcentral. RNAcentral also lists the same sequence under 1 other name. Lineage: Eukaryota; Viridiplantae; Streptophyta; Magnoliopsida; Malvales; Malvaceae.